UUAAAACUUUCAACAACGGAUCUCUUGGUUCCGGCAUCGAUGAAGAACGCAGCGAAAUGCGAUAAGUAAUGUGAAUUGCAGAAUUCCGUGAAUCAUCGAAUCUUUGAACGCACAUUGCGCCCCCUGGCAUUCCGGGGGGCGGGGGGCAUGCCUGUUCG
Molecule: ribosomal RNA, 158 nt
Filed under: Trichophyton mentagrophytes
Lineage: Eukaryota; Fungi; Ascomycota; Eurotiomycetes; Onygenales; Arthrodermataceae
Description: 5.8S ribosomal RNA
Rfam family: 5.8S ribosomal RNA
About the family: 5.8S ribosomal RNA (5.8S rRNA) is a component of the large subunit of the eukaryotic ribosome. It is transcribed by RNA polymerase I as part of the 45S precursor that also contains 18S and 28S rRNA. Functionally, it is thought that 5.8S rRNA may be involved in ribosome translocation.
Source: RNAcentral